RNAcentral lists this ribosomal RNA (449 nucleotides) under uncultured organism. RNAcentral's name for it is "partial 16S ribosomal RNA". It matches the Rfam family "Bacterial small subunit ribosomal RNA", at positions 332 to 797 of the family's 1533-position model. The record is from RNAcentral.
UACACUCCUGCGGGAGGCAGCAGUGGGGAAUAUUGGACAAUGGGCGCAAGCCUGAUCCAGCCAUGCCGCGUGAGUGAUGAAGGCCCUAGGGUUGUAAAGCUCUUUCACCGGUGAAGAUAAUGACGGUAACCGGAGAAGAAGCCCCGGCUAACUUCGUGCCAGCAGCCGCGGUAAUACGAAGGGGGCUAGUGUUGUUCGGAUUUACUGGGCGUAAAGCGCACGUAGGCGGACUAUUAAGUCAGGGGUGAAAUCCCGGGGCUCAACCCCGGAACUGCCUUUGAUACUGGUAGUCUUGAGUUCGAGAGAGGUGAGUGGAAUUCCGAGUGUAGAGGUGAAAUUCGUAGAUAUUCGGAGGAACACCAGUGGCGAAGGCGGCUCACUGGCUCGAUACUGACGCUGAGGUGCGAAAGCGUGGGGAGCAAACAGGAUUAGAAACCCCUGUAGUCCCA